Molecule: non-coding RNA, 54 nt
Organism: Salmo salar (Atlantic salmon)
Lineage: Eukaryota; Metazoa; Chordata; Actinopteri; Salmoniformes; Salmonidae
Source: Rfam
UGUAUUCACUACUGUAAGUCGCUUUGGAUAAGAGCGUCUGCUAAAUGACUAAAA